UGCAACAGAACUCUGCAGGAAAGAGAGGAAUUUCUCCAGCACUCUUUUCAAAGUCAAAUAAUGGAUAUUCCUACUGGAUUUCUCUAGCUUUCAACCAAAGUGUUCCAUGAUGACACACUACCGUUCAAAAGUUUGGGGUGUCACUGCUACAAAGGAAGCAGAUGUAAAGACAGCCUGCAGAAACAUUUCUUCACCUCAGACAGACACAUACUGCUGGGCAGAAGUAGGACAUAUCAGGUUCUGGGCAAGCCUUCACAAAUCACCGCAGCUUGGGUGCUUUCACAACCACAAAGCACCUCGGUAAAGUGUGAACGUGAUUUGUUCAGACACCCUGUGGCUGGACAUGACUUCAGCUUUCACUUCUCCAACAGGACCGUGUGAUCUGUGCUGCUGCCACAGGGUCAUUGCAAGAUAUGUGUUUUCACAAAAAACUUUCCUUCCAUUUCUUGAAAAGUGGAGCACAACUCCAUGAAGCCAUUAGCAUAAAUACAUAUGGAGAUAUACCGACGAG
This is a long non-coding RNA of Onychostoma macrolepis, 511 nucleotides long. RefSeq lists it as uncharacterized. NCBI's taxonomy places the organism in Eukaryota, Metazoa, Chordata, Actinopteri, Cypriniformes, Cyprinidae. The transcript is spliced from 3 exons. The record is from RefSeq and is a predicted model, not a curated record.